GUUUUCUAAAAGACUAUUUGGUCCGUAAUAAUUGUAAAAUGCCAAAAGCAAGGAAAGCACUUCCUGACUUAUACACAGAAAGGGUAUUAUCCCGUAGAUAUUAUGGAGCGUACAAAUGCUUGGCCUUGCUGACUCCUCUCGUUUAUAGUGCAUACAAGAUAAUUACCGAAGGAAGGAGCUACAUACCAGGCAACAGCACAGGCAGGAAUACGGGCUUCUCCUCAGAAAUCAGAAACAGCAAAUCAAAAGGUGCGUCAUACAUACCUUGCUUCAACAUUUCUCUAGGCGAUAUUCAAUGUUGCCACUUUUUGGAAGUGUUGUUGAACCUUGUAUUUGCGGACACCAAUUGUUUUGGAUCUUAUAGAACCCACAAACACCAAAAUUGGAUUGAGGUUCUGAAAAGAUGAAUUCAGAAAAAAUAAUGGAAGAAGGUAGAGAGAAAAUUUACAAUGGAGUUGAACAUGUAUUAAAUGAUACCAGUAGAGGUCUAGAGGAUAGCCAUAAUAAAUAAAAUUGAUUGGGAUAUGUUUAUUGGUUUUGAGUGUAGAAUAUGAAAUACUUAAAGCUUACAUUUCUCUGAUUCCCAGCGUCUUCAAUGUUCCCUGUCCUUCUGUUGCUUCUGUUGCCAUAUGUACUCCAACCAGCAUCAAUAAGGGCAUUAAGCAAUAGGACUGAUGUGGAUUCCUUGCUGGCAUUCAAGGCAAGCCUAAGAAACCAGCAUGGUGUCCUAACUGCAUGGAACACAACUACUGACUUCUGCCAGUGGCCAGGCAUCGGUUGCAGCCUUAAGCACAAUCAAAGGGUCAUAGUGCUUAACCUCUCUUCGGAGGGCCUUGGUGGCACGAUCGCACCUCCAAUUGGGAACCUCUCCUUCUUGAGAAUUCUAGACCUCAAGCGGAACAAUCUGCAAGGUGAAAUACCUUCAUCCAUUGGUUGCCUGUCUCGCCUACGAUAUCUUGAUUUAUCCAACAACUCACUUCAUGGUGAUGUAAAUGCUGAAUUGAAGAAUUGCACCAGCCUUGAAAGAAUAAACAUUGGCUCAAACCGUUUGACUAGAGAAAUUCCUGCUUGGCUUGGAGACUUGUCAAGUCUCAAGGUCAUAAGCCUGGCCAUAAACAACUUGACUGGAAUCAUCCCGUCAUCACUUACCAAUCUCUCGGCAGUGCAAAGAAUCUACUUCACCGCAAACCAACUAGAGGGUACCAUCCCUGAGGGCCUUGGCAAACUCGGUAGCCUCUUCUCAAUACGCCUAGGAGUAAAUCACCUCUCAGGCACCAUCCCUACAGCUCUCUUCAACAUUUCUUCUCUAAUAGAAUUUGGCGUGGAGGUAAAUGAAGUAGGCGGCAAACUUCCCUCAGAUUUAGGGAAUCGCCUCCCGAACCUCGAGGUCCUACACCUUGGCGGUAACCACUUUACAGGAAACCUUCCAGCUUCUCUUGUCAAUUCAACUGAGAUAUCUGAGCUAGAUGUUGUCUACAACAACUUCACUGGAAGAUUGCCUCCAGAAAUUGGAAUGCUCUGCCCAGACUACCUCAGUCUUGGAAUAAAUCAGUUCAUGGCAAAUAGUGUGCAGGACUGGGAGUUUAUGACUUUGUUGACAAAUUGCACACGCCUCCGAAUAUUUAACCUCCAAUUCAACAUGCUAGGUGGUGUGCUCCCUAGCUCAGUUGCCAAGUGACACCAUAGGAAGGCUAAAUAAACUACAAGUCCUGGAGUUAGAACAUAACCUACUGACAGGGUUCUUGCCAUCCUCCCUUGGGAACUUGACACAGCUACUAUAUCUGUACACAGAUAACAACACGUUUGAGGGGACUCUUCCGGCAAGCCUCAGGAGCCUACAAGAGGUAACUAUAGCAACAUUUUCCAACAAUAAGUUCACAGGUCCAUUGCCAAAAGAGAUUUUUAACCUAUCGUCCCUGUCAGACACCCUAGAUCUGUCAGGCAAUUACUUUGUUGGUCCUCUUCCACCUGAAGUAGGCGACCUAACAAAGCUUGCAUACUUAUACUUAUCCCGGAACAACUUAUCAGGGCCCCUACCUAAUGCACUCAGCAAUUGCCAAAGCUUAACAGAAAUCAGGUUGGACGAUAACUCCUUCGAUAGUAGCAUCCCCUCAUCUAUAAGCAAAAUGCGAGGUCUCAUGUUGCUAAAUCUUAAUAAGAACACGCUUUCAGGUGUGAUUCCUCAAGAUUUAGCUCUAAUGAGUGGCCUUCAAGAGUUAUACCUUGCACACAACAACUUGUCUGGUCAUAUCCCAGAAAACUUGGAAAAUAUGGCAUCGAUGUACCAGUUAGACCUGUCCUUCAACCAUCUGGAUGGCAAAGUUCCAUCACGAGGAGUUUUUAGUAAUGCAUCUGGGUUUUCAUUUGUUGGGAAUUUGGGGCUUUGUGGUGGUAUACUAGAGUUAGAUUUGCCCCCAUGCCAGCCGGAAUCCGUGGGACAUGGCUUGAGCAAACGCCAUUUGACUAUCAUCCUAGUUACCACAAUGGCAGGCAUAAUUCUGGCUUUGAGUUCGAUGCUUGUUUUCUUCACAAUGAGAAAGAAAUCAAAAGCUCGGCCUACAACCACAGGAGGAUUCCAGUUGAUGGACAGUUACCCUAGAGUUACUUAUGCUGAAUUGGUCCAAGGAACAAGUGGCUUUGCAGUAGACAAUUUGAUUGGCAGAGGAAGGUACGGAUCGGUGUACAAGUGUUGUUUGCUGCUCAAAAAUAUGAUGACCACAGUAGCUGUAAAGGUUUUUGAUCUACAACAGUCUGGCUCUUCCAGAAGCUUUCUAGCUGAGUGUGAGGCACUUAGUAAGAUCCGACAUCGUAAUUUGAUUAGUCUCAUAACUUGUUGUUCAAGCAAUGACUCAAACCAAAACGACUUCAAAGCCAUUGUUUUCGAGUUCAUGCCUAAUGGGAGCCUAGAUAGGUGGUUACACAUGGAUGUACAUGUAUCGCAUCAACUGCAAGGCUUGACAUUGAUGCAGAGACUAAAUAUUGCAGUUGAUAUUGCUGAUGCGAUAGAUUAUUUACACAACAAUUGUGAACCGCCAAUAAUUCAUUGUGACUUGAAGCCAAGCAACAUUCUUCUCAAUGAGGAUUUAGUUGCUCAAGUUGGGGACUUUGGCCUUGCAAAGAUUCUUUCCGAACCAGCAGCUGACCAACUGAUCAAUUCAAAGAGCACAGUUGGAAUAAGGGGAACAAUUGGAUACGUCGCUCCAGAAUAUGGCGAAGGUGGUCAAGUUUCUUCUUGUGGAGAUGUGUACAGCUUCGGAACUGUCAUCCUCGAGUUGUUUACAGGCAUGGCACCUACUCAUGACAUGUUUAGAGACGGGUUGACCCUGCAGAAACAUUUCGAGAAUGCAUUUCCAGGGAUGCUAAUGCAGAUUGUUGAUCCAGUCCUACUGUCCAUUGAAGAAGCCAAUGCUAAUAGUUUGCAGGAUGCAAACAACACAAUGGAACAUGCCAUAUUCUCUGUCAUGAAGGUUGCGCUAUCAUGCAGCAAGCAUGCACCGACAGAGAGAAUGUGCAUCAGAGAUGCUGCUGCUACGAUUCACAGGAUAAGGGAUGGUUAUGUUAAAGCAAGACAAAAUGAGGGGGUUGUUACAGCUGCAUUUACCGCAAGGCAUUUUGCUGAAACAUCCAGGGCAGCCCCUUGAACUGGCUUCACACACGCACUCUUAAUUAAUGGCUUUGUAGUAGUUAUAUAUUGCACUCGUAUGGUUUUGAUAUGUUAGUUUCUGGCUGGUGAUGUUCUCUUAGCUUGUUGAUCUGCCGUUUGCAGCCUAUCUGUCACUCUACCUUCAACAGUUAAUAUGGUUUGUAUAUUGGGAUGCCCAUCAUGAACUGGUAAUAUCAUUUGUAUCGGCUACUAUUUGUGCUAAAUACAAAUAUUAGUGAAUCCCUUCCAUCUAAAUGACUG
This 3904-nucleotide ribosomal RNA is filed under the name Triticum aestivum (bread wheat). Its description in RNAcentral is "partial small subunit ribosomal RNA". Lineage: Eukaryota; Viridiplantae; Streptophyta; Magnoliopsida; Poales; Poaceae. The record is from RNAcentral.